GGGGCUGUAGCUCAGAUGGGAGAGCGUAUCAAUCGCACUGAUGAGGUCAGGGGUUCGAGUCCCCUCAGCUCCACCA
Molecule: transfer RNA, 76 nt
Filed under: Anaerolineae bacterium
Lineage: Bacteria; Bacillati; Chloroflexota; Anaerolineae
Also listed under: 1 other name
Description: tRNA-Ala
Rfam family: tRNA
About the family: Transfer RNA (tRNA) molecules are approximately 80 nucleotides in length. Their secondary structure includes four short double-helical elements and three loops (D, anti-codon, and T loops).
Source: RNAcentral